This 253-nucleotide ribosomal RNA is filed under the name uncultured bacterium. RNAcentral describes it as "partial 16S ribosomal RNA". It matches the Rfam family "Bacterial small subunit ribosomal RNA", at positions 524 to 776 of the family's 1533-position model. The record is from RNAcentral.
UACGUAGGGUGCAAGCGUUGUCCGGAAUUAUUGGGCGUAAAGAGCUCGUAGGCGGUUUGUUGCGUCGGCUGUGAAAUCCCGAGGCUCAACCUCGGGUCUGCAGUCGAUACGAGCAAACUAGAGUGUUGCAGGGGAGACUGGAAUUCCUGGUGUAGCGGUGAAAUGCGCAGAUAUCAGGAGGAACACCGAUGGCGAAGGCAGGUCUCUGGGCAUUAACUGACGCUGAGGAGCGAAAGCAUGGGGAGCGAACAGG